UUAAGUUCAGCGGGUAGUCCUGCCUGAUUUGAGGUCAAACGACAUGGUCUUUUAUUUGUCAUUACGACGAUUAGAAGCCAUCUUUCAAACCCAACCAUAACAAUGCUUUAUUUUUUACUUAUCACAUUGUGUGUGAUCAGGGCAGAUCGCUAAUACAUUUAGGACGAGUCGUAGAAACACGACAACACCCAAGUCCAAUG
Molecule: unclassified non-coding RNA, 200 nt
Filed under: uncultured Geastrum
Lineage: Eukaryota; Fungi; Basidiomycota; Agaricomycetes; Geastrales; Geastraceae
Description: sequence contains ITS2
Source: RNAcentral